AAAACCGUUAAAGACGCGAUGUCCCUUGUCUACUUUUUACUACACUCAAAGUAUCUUUCUUCACAAAAAGAGCGUAAAUAGGUGAACUCAGAGCCGUUGACGGAAAAUAAGGCUUUUAUUUUGGAUGGAAACUCGGAAAGCGGAAGUUGUCAUUAGCCGCGACUUUCAUACUUUCACAUGUUAGCAUACGGCUAAGCUAGUAACGUAUUCAUGACGUCUCUGUUAUAAACAAAGUUUGCAUUGGUUAUUAUCAGCAUUGAUUUAGUUCACAUUCCAGCGUGUGUUUUUAUCUCUUAGGUUUUCAGAAGUGAAUACUGAAAAGUGAAUGAACUUUUCAGCUGUUACAUUGAUAACGUUACGUUCGCUUGAAAUAAGCAGUGAGACAGAUGAUUAUUUGAUUCGAUCGAUAAACUCCAUUAAUGAUCAGUGAUCGAAACAUGCAGAAGGACUCGAGACUGAUAAAGACCUCCGCGCCUUCAGUGGCGCAGAUUAACGCUGAAUAUGUCACUCAGCUUUCAAACAAAUACUGGGCACCUCAUGUCAAGAAUAAAUUACCAUUUGAAGCUCAGGUCAUUGAAGACAUUUAUCAGAAUGAGAUUCUUAAAUCAAAAUUUUCUGUCAGAAAGAUUAUGUUGCUGGAGUUCAGCCAGUAUCUGGAGAGUUACCUGUGGUUGAACUACACACCUGAAGCCUCCACCAACAGCUACCUGAUGUCCAUCUGCUGCAUCGUCAACGAGAAGUUUCGAGAAAACGUUCCUGCCUGGGAGGUUUUUAAGCGCGCACCCACACACUUCCCUCACUUCUUCAGGUGUGUGAUGGAGUCGUGUCUGUCGGGCGAACAGCUCGGCCUGUCGCUGAAGGAACAGACGGUGCUCCUCCUCUUCCUCGAUCACUGCUUCAACAGUCUGGAAGUGGACUUGAUCCGUGAGCAGGUGCAGAAGCUGGUUUCUCUGCCCAUGUGGAUGUGUCUGCUGCCGAUGAGACUGCAGCAGGAAUUGAAGAAGGUCCCGAAACUGCAGAAGUUCUGGAACCUCAUUAAGAAGAACUAUGAGAAGAUGGAGCCUCAGGAUGCGGAGCAAGCGAAGAAGGAGCGCACCUUCCUCGCUGCUCUCAUCAAGAAGUUCCUGGGGGUUCUCAUGUCCAUCCCUGCGUCAGGCUCUGUCUCCAUGGAGAAGGUUCACUACUGUGAGAGAUUCAUUGAGUUCAUGAUUGACCUGGAGGCUCUCCUCCCGACCCGGCGCUGGUUCAACACACUCCUGGACGACGCUCAUCUGGUGGUGAACUGCCAGCUGUCCCACCUCACGGAGCGGGAGCAGGAAGGACACCUCUUCUGCCAGCUGCUGGACAUGUUGAAGUUCUACGCUGGCUUUGAGAUCAGUGAUCAGACUGGAAACGCUCUCACACAGAAAGAGAUGACCACACUGCACUACGACAGGAUCACGUCUCUACAGAGAGCAGCGUUUGCUCAUUUCCCUGAGCUCAAUGACUUUGCCCUGUCUAAUGUGGCCGCCGUGGACACGCGAGAGUCCCUCACCAAACACUUCGGCCCUCUCAGUCCCAACACCCUCCACCGGGUGUCAGCAUACCUGUGUCUCCUGCCGGAGCUUCCCGAGGGAGAGGAGACGUCCUACGAGAAAGAGUUUCUUCUGGAACUGCUGGUGUCCCACCACGAGAGGCGGAUCUCCCAGAUCGAACAGCUCAACCAGAUGCCUCUGUAUCCCACCGAGAAGAUCAUCUGGGACGAGAACAUCGUUCCCACCGAGUACUAUUCAGGAGAAGGUUGUUUAGCUCUGCCGAAGCUGAACCUGCAGUUUCUGACCCUUCACGACUACCUUUUGAGGAACUUCAACCUCUUCCGACUGGAGUCAACCUAUGAAAUCCGCCAGGAUAUCGAGGACGUUGUGCUACGGAUGAAGCCAUGGCAGUCGGAGUAUGGAGGAGUGGUGUUUGGAGGAUGGGCUCGAAUGGCUCAGACCAUACUGUCGUUCUCUAUCGUGGAGGUGGCCAAGCCCAACAUCGGGGAGAACUGGCCUGCCCGAGUCCGUGCUGACGUCACCCUCAACCUCAACAUCCGAGAUCACAUCAAGAACGAAUGGGAGGGUCUUCGGAAACACGACGUGUGCUUCCUGAUCACGGUGCGGCCCAACCUGCCGUACGGCACACGCUUCGAUCGCCGGCAGCCGUUCGUGGAUCAGGCCGGGCUGGUGUACGUGAGGGGCUGUGAGGUGCAGGGCAUGCUGGACGAUAAGGGCCGCGUCAUCGAGGAGGGUCCUGAUCCGAAGCCCAAACUAAGAGGAGACACCAGGACGUUUCGGGUUUGGCUCGACGCAAACCAGUAUCAGCAGGACAUGACCAACAGCAUCCAGAACGGGGCAGAAGACCCCUAUGAGACCUUCAAUAUUAUCAUGAGGCGCAAACCCAAAGAGAACAACUUCAAGGCUGUGCUUGAGACCAUUCGCAACCUCAUGAACACAGAGUGUGUGGUUCCCGACUGGCUUCACGACAUCAUUCUGGGUUAUGGAGACCCUGGUAGUGCCCAUUACUCCAAGAUGCCCAAUCAGAUCUCGUCCCUGGACUUCAACGACACCUUCCUGUCCAUCGAGCACCUGAAGUCCUGUUUCCCCAAUCACAAGGUGAAGGUGUCGGAGGACGAUCCCGCUCGACAGGUCCCGCCUUUCAGAAUUCGAUUCCCUGUGCAGAACGUGAAGGCUAAGAAGCGUAAAGCAAAUGAGGAAGAGACGCAGGGCGAGGAAGAUCAGACGCUGGUGGUGGAGCCUCACGUGAUUCCCAACAGAGGCCCGUAUCCCUACAACCAGCCCAAGCGAAACACCAUCCAGUUUACACCCACCCAGAUCGAAGCCAUUCGUGCAGGGAUGCAGCCAGGCCUUACUAUGGUCGUUGGUCCUCCCGGCACGGGAAAAACAGACGUGGCUGUUCAGAUCAUCUCCAACCUGUACCACAACUUCCCCGAGCAGAGAACGCUCAUCGUCACACACUCCAAUCAGGCUCUGAACCAGCUGUUUGAGAAGAUUAUGGCGUUAGACAUCGAUGAACGUCACCUUCUGCGUAUGGGCCAUGGAGAAGAAGAACUAGAGACUGAGAAAGAUUUCAGCAGGUAUGGACGAGUGAACUAUGUGCUGUCCCGGCGUCUGGAGCUCCUGCGAGAGGUGGCCCGUCUGCAGGACAGUCUCGGUGUGCCCGGGGACGUUUCCUACACAUGCGAGACCGCUGGACACUUCUACCUCUACCAGGUCAUUUCUCGUUGGGAGGAAUACAUGAGUAAAGUGAAGCCGAAGCCCAGCCGAGAGGUGCCGGUGGAGGACGUGGCGUCACACUUCCCGUUCCAGAAGUACUUCUCCAAUGCUCCUCAGCCAGUGUUCAAAGGCCAGUCGUACCAGGAGGACAUGGACAUCGCCGAGGGCUGCUACCGCCACAUACGCAAGAUCUUCACACAGCUAGAGGAGUUCAGGGCUUUUGAGCUGUUGCGCAGCGGGCUGGACCGAUCCAAAUACCUGCUGGUGAAAGAGGCCAAGAUCAUCGCCAUGACCUGCACACACGCCGCUCUCAAACGCCACGACCUGGUGGAGCUCGGCUUCAAGUACGAUAAUAUCCUGAUGGAGGAGGCAGCUCAAAUCCUGGAGAUCGAGACCUUCAUCCCUCUACUGCUGCAGAACCCAGAGGACGGCUACAGUCGCCUCAAGCGCUGGAUUAUGAUUGGGGAUCAUCAUCAGUUGCCUCCUGUCAUCAAGAACAUGGCCUUUCAGAAAUAUUCCAACAUGGAGCAGUCGCUGUUCACCCGCUUCGUGCGUCUGGGUGUGCCCACCGUGGACCUGGACGCCCAGGGCAGAGCACGCGCCAGUCUGUGUAACCUGUAUAACUGGCGCUAUAAGCAGCUGGGGAACCUCCCUCAUGUUCAACUCCAGCCCGAGUUCCAGUCACCGAACCCUGGGUUCACAUACGACUUCCAGCUCGUGAACGUGGAGGACUUCAAUGGCGUGGGCGAAUCAGAACCCAACCCAUACUUUUAUCAGAAUCUGGCAGAAGCCGAGUAUUCGGUGGCGCUGUUCAUGUACAUGCGUUUGCUGGGAUAUCCUGCCGAACGCAUCAGUAUACUGACCACCUACAACGGCCAGAAGCAUCUGAUACGAGACGUCAUCAACCAGAGAUGUGCCAACAACUCGUUCUUCGGACAGCCCAAUAAAGUGACAACGGUGGACCGGUUUCAGGGUCAACAGAACGAUUACAUCAUUCUCUCACUGGUGCGCACUAAAGCCGUAGGACAUUUGAGAGACGUGCGGCGUCUGGUCGUGGCCAUGUCUCGUGCCAGACUCGGCCUCUACAUAUUCGCUCGAGUGUCUCUGUUCCAGAACUGCUAUGAGCUGACGCCAGCCUUCAGCCAGCUGACCUCGCGACCCCUGCAGCUGCACAUCCGGCCCCAGGAAUACUACAGCUCUACGGAGGAGCGUUCCUCUCAGCCUGAUCAGGUGAUCAAGGAUAUGCCAGAGAUGGCUAACCUGGUUUAUAACUUGUACAUGCACAUGAUUCAGAGCACGCAGCAGCACAGACAACAACACAUUCUGGAUCCUCCUCGUCAGGCGCAGAAGUCCGAGCCGCCCGUGAAGAGCGAUGAAGAGCGUCCUGAGACUGUCCCUGAGGAAGAGGAGGAGCAGGCGAAGGCCGAGGGCCGCACGGAUGAGGAAGAGCACGCUAAGAUGCCCGAACACCCGGGUCGAGACAGCGACAGCGGGGACAGUGACGAGGACCAGGAGGCCUAGAGGGCUUUUCUGAUGGUUUGGAGGAAUGAUUGUGGAAAUGAGCAUUGAGCUUUUAGUCCAUUCUCAGGGCGAGUGUGUGGCGGGGACUUGAGCGCUGCUCCAUCAGGGUCUCUGGCGUCUGCGACGGGAACCGGUCUGGCUGCUGUGGGAGUCCAGGAAACAUUAACAGAGCUUUCAACCACCAUUUCUCUACGCAACUCAAGACACUCCCACUGAAGAUGUCGUGUGGCUCGUGUUUCUGGGCCGUGGUGUGGCUGCUGGUGCUGCUGGUCCUGGGCUGGCCCUUGAGUAUAAUGCUGGGGGGUCUUUAUGGCCUCGUGGCCCCGCUCACCGUGUGUGUCGGCCUGGACCGGCUGGCGGACCUGCUGAUGGAGGGAGCGAACCUGGGCCGAAAGUGUGCUCAGAACAUGAGGCACGGCAAACCACUGUGCUGAGACCUCCAGGAGAUUCGCAUCUGUUCGUUUAAGCUGUGUUAAUCCACGUCAGCGGGUCUGUGAUGUCACUCACUGUGCGGUUGGUUCUCCGUGUGACUGACUCAUCCUUAAAGCCUUAGUGACACUUUCCGUCUUCCUCUCUGUAUCUGUGGCUCUCAGGCUGUUCGAAUAUGAAAAAUUAAAAUAUUCUGAGAGAAUUCUGG
Molecule: RNA transcript, 5412 nt
Organism: Pimephales promelas (fathead minnow)
Lineage: Eukaryota; Metazoa; Chordata; Actinopteri; Cypriniformes; Leuciscidae
Gene: aqr
Gene name: aquarius intron-binding spliceosomal factor
Source: RefSeq, a predicted model, not a curated record